Chelonia mydas (Green sea turtle) is the source of this 72-nucleotide non-coding RNA. The record is from Rfam. Lineage: Eukaryota; Metazoa; Chordata; Testudines; Cheloniidae.
GGCCUCGUGGCGCAAGGGUAGUGCAUCUGACUCCAGAUCAGAAGGUUGUGUGUUCAAAUCACAUCGGGGUCA